GUCCUUUUGGUUUUUAUUUAAGGUCUGACCUGCCCACUGAUUUAUUUAAUGGCCGCGGUAUUUUGACCGUGCAAAGGUAGCAUAAUAAUUUGUCUUUUAAUUGAAGGCUUGUAUGAAUGGUUGGACGAGAAAAUUACUUUCUUUAUAAUAAAUUAUUAAUUUUAUUUUUUAGUUAAAAAGCUAAAAUUUUGUUGUAGGACGAGAAGACCCUAUAGAACUUUAUAUUUAUUUUUAUAUUAAUAUCUUUGGUUGAUAAUAUAUUGUAUUUUUAUAUAUAUUUUGUUGGGGCGACAAGAAAAUUUAUUUAACUUUUUUUUAUUAAUUUCAUUAAUUAGUGUAUAAAUGAUCCUUUAUUAUGGAUAGUUAGAAUAAGUUACCUUAGGGAUAACAGCGUAAUUUUUUUGGAGAGUUCUUAUCGAUAAAAAAGUUUGCGA
RNAcentral lists this ribosomal RNA (434 nucleotides) under Sigara sp. RNAcentral's name for it is "partial large subunit ribosomal RNA". It matches the Rfam family "Archaeal large subunit ribosomal RNA", at positions 1921 to 2592 of the family's 2987-position model. The record is from RNAcentral. Lineage: Eukaryota; Metazoa; Arthropoda; Insecta; Hemiptera; Corixidae.